Molecule: long non-coding RNA, 337 nt
Filed under: Mytilus galloprovincialis (Mediterranean mussel)
Lineage: Eukaryota; Metazoa; Mollusca; Bivalvia; Mytilida; Mytilidae
Source: RNAcentral
UUUCGAAAACACUAUCAUGAAUUAAAACCGAUUAUCAGAUUAUCAGUGGCUAUUUGUACCUUGUAAGCAGGUUUUGAUCAAACAUAAUAAAGCAUUUUCUGACAUGUAGUAUACAGGUCGUCACUUCUGUACACCCAAUGGAAACAAGAACACAAGAUAAGUGACGAGUCCAUCUUGCACUCCUGUUUCGAACCAAAAUUGUAAUCUAAAAUGAUUUUGUUAUUCCACUGAUAAUCUAUGUAUUCACCCGGAAGCUCAUACGUGUAAAUUCAACUACUUAUAGCAUGGUGCGUGAAAUGACACAAAACAAUAACGACAACUAAACAAUAAUUGUGGU